AGUGAACGCUGGCGGUAGGCCUAACACAUGCAAGUCGAACGGCAGCACAGUAAGAGCUUGCUCUUACGGGUGUCGAGUGGCGGACGCGUCAGUAAUACAUCGGAAUCUACUUUUUCGUGGGGGCUAACGUCGGGAAACUUACUCUAAUACCGCAUACGACCUCCGUGUGAAAGCACGGGAUCUUCUGACCUUGCGCGAUUGUAUGAGCCUAGGUCGGAUUAGCUAGUUGGCGGGGUUAAGGCCCACCAAGGCGACGCUCGGUAGAUGGUCUGAGAGGAUGAUCAGACACACGGGAACAGAGACAGAGUACAGACUCCUAGGGGAGGCAGCAGUGGGGAAUAUUGGACGAUGGGGGAGAGCGGAAUCCAGCAAUACCGCGUGGGUGAAGAAGGACUUCGGGUUGUUAAGCCAUUUUGUUGGGAAAGAAAAGAAGCAGGUUAAUACGCCGCUGUUAUGACGGUACCCAAAGAAUAAGCACCGGCUAACUUCGUG
This 492-nucleotide ribosomal RNA is filed under the name uncultured bacterium. RNAcentral's name for it is "partial 16S ribosomal RNA". It matches the Rfam family "Bacterial small subunit ribosomal RNA", at positions 29 to 507 of the family's 1533-position model. The record is from RNAcentral.